GGGCCUAUAGCUCAGCUGGUUAGAGUGCACCCCUGAUAAGGGUGAGGUCACAAGUUCAAGUCUUGUUAGGCC
Molecule: transfer RNA, 72 nt
Filed under: Campylobacter coli
Lineage: Bacteria; Pseudomonadati; Campylobacterota; Epsilonproteobacteria; Campylobacterales; Campylobacteraceae
Description: tRNA-Ile
Rfam family: tRNA
About the family: Transfer RNA (tRNA) molecules are approximately 80 nucleotides in length. Their secondary structure includes four short double-helical elements and three loops (D, anti-codon, and T loops). Further hydrogen bonds mediate the characteristic L-shaped molecular structure. tRNAs have two regions of fundamental functional importance: the anti-codon, which is responsible for specific mRNA codon recognition, and the 3' end, to which the tRNAs corresponding amino acid is attached (by aminoacyl-tRNA synthetases). tRNAs cope with the degeneracy of the genetic code in two manners: having more than one tRNA (with a specific anti-codon) for a particular amino acid; and 'wobble' base-pairing, i.e. permitting non-standard base-pairing at the 3rd anti-codon position.
Source: RNAcentral